UUAUCUUUGUGAUGAUUUGGUAAUCGAGAUACUUUCAAUGUCUCGGUGCAAGGGAAUCCAGUGAAAAUCUGGAGCUGUUCCUGCAGCUGUAAUACCUCAAUUACGUGGGUUAAAUCAUCUAAGAAACACUGUGUGUAAAAGCAUGGGAAGUUUAUUUAACCAGAGGUAAGCCAGAAGACCUGCCAAGUACAACAAAACAAA
Molecule: non-coding RNA, 201 nt
Filed under: Bacteroides coprosuis
Lineage: Bacteria; Pseudomonadati; Bacteroidota; Bacteroidia; Bacteroidales; Bacteroidaceae
Source: RNAcentral